GUGGGGAAUUUUGCGCAAUGGACGAAAGUCUGACGCAGCAACGCCGCGUGGAGGAUGAAGGCCUUCGGGUCGUAAACUCCUGUCAGGGGGGACGAAAAAAAUGACUGUACCCCUUGAGGAAGCCACGGCUAACUCCGUGCCAGCAGCCGCGGUAAUACGGAGGUGGCAAGCGUUGUUCGGAAUUACUGGGCGUAAAGGGCGCGUAGGCGGCUUGGCAAGUCAGAUGUGAAAGCCCCGGGCUUAACCCGGGAAUUGCAUCUGAAACUGCUUUGCUUGAGUCCUGGAGGGGGUAGUGGAAUUCCCAGUGUAGCGGUGAAAUGCGUAGAUAUUGGGAGGAACACCUGCGGCGAAGGCGGCUACCUGGACAGUGACUGACGCUGAUGCGCGAAAGCUAGGGGAGCAAACGGGAUUAGAAACCCCUGUAGUCC
RNAcentral lists this ribosomal RNA (428 nucleotides) under uncultured bacterium. Its description in RNAcentral is "bacterial SSU rRNA". It matches the Rfam family "Bacterial small subunit ribosomal RNA", at positions 354 to 796 of the family's 1533-position model. The record is from RNAcentral.